AGGUGCGAUCAUACCAGCACUAAUGCACCGGAUCCCAUCAGAACUCCGCAGUUAAGCGUGCUUGGGCGAGAGUAGUACUAGGAUGGGUGACCACCUGGGAAGUCCUUGUAUUGCACCUCUCC
Molecule: ribosomal RNA, 122 nt
Filed under: Medicago truncatula (barrel medic)
Lineage: Eukaryota; Viridiplantae; Streptophyta; Magnoliopsida; Fabales; Fabaceae
Source: RNAcentral